AUUUGUUGUGGGCAAAUAAAAUGAAUAUGUGAAUCAAAACCACCUGCUGUCAAAAUUUUACCUUCUCCAGCAAUUACUUCAGUACCAGGGCCAACUAUAAUAUCCACAUUUGGCUGAGUAUCAGGAUUCCCUCCUUUACCAAUUUUACAAAUUCUUCCAUCCAAAAUUCCUAAGUCAGCCUUAUAAAUUCCAGAGAUAUCAAGUAUUAAAGCAUUAGUAAUAAUAGUAUCAACUGCCCCUUUACUUCUUGGAGUUUGAGAUUGCCCCAUACCAUCUCU
Molecule: small RNA, 278 nt
Filed under: marine eukaryotic metagenome
Description: 5' ureB small RNA
Rfam family: 5' ureB small RNA
Source: RNAcentral